AGUGAUUAGACAUAAGAUUUUAAUAAAAAAUGAGUAAGGUGUGCAAAGCAAACUAUCAACUAAACCAAAGAUCUAAAUAGCAACGAACCAAAUUUCGCUUAAACAGACGGUUCCAUAUUACUUUAAAAACUGUAAUGACACUAAAUAGAACCCUUAACACAUUCCCCAAUAUGAAAUUAAAAGGCUAUGAACGUUAACUUCAAAUCAAUGACUAUGAAAUAUGCUUCACACCGCUAAUCCAUUCACGAGCGCAAUCUACGUUGGGAAGCACCAUUCACGGUUCAUGUUCACGUUUCCAGCGUUUAACCAUAUGGUGCAGAUCCACACAAAACACAGAGGUCCGAACAUGAAGAUCAAGAACAUGAACACGACUACGCUUGGAUUAACAAUAACAACAUUUAGUAAACAACAAAAAAUGAACCUAGGGAACCGCGACUAAAGCAAUUUCAACUCGAACCUCAAUGAGAGCUUUCAAUUAAUAGGAUCUCAACAGUUACAAUAAUUUAAUCGAACGAGACUCAAAUCUAAAAUCUGAACGAGAAGACAGCAGCGAAUCAAACUCGAACCCGCGAACAACAGCGAACUCAACAGCCUUUCAAACGAGCUCCAUUUUUACCAGAAAACCCAGACGAGAAGAAGAGAAUGAAUAUCUAUAUAUAUAUUUUGAGCUUUUAAACAAUAAUCAAAACCAUAUCAAAGAAAGGACACUCAACAUUUCUAUGUGUAUCUAUUUGAAUCUGAAAACGUGAGAAGAAAAUCAGAAAUAAAAAUUCUUCAAGCCCUAGCCUUUUCUCUCCAAAUUUUCCGAAAAAAAUUCUCCACCCCCUUUCUUAGAAAAUUUUCCGCUACUUAUCAGGCACCAACCUGAUGAAUGAAGGGCCGGGAUCAAUUGAAGUCGAUCCCACGCUCCCCAUUCAUCCAGCAUAUGCCUUCUAGAGGCUUCCAACACGUGAGAAGAGAGAUGAGGGUAAGGGAAUCUGUCAGAGACCGUUAGGGUUGGUGACGUGGUGAGAUAAGGUCGCGUGUGAGUGAACUCGCCUGAGUUUUCAGGUGAGCGAGGGUUAAAUUGGCGGGUUUGGAGACGAAGACAGUAGCUGCGCCGCCUAGGGGUUUUUG
Molecule: long non-coding RNA, 1116 nt
Filed under: Nicotiana tabacum (common tobacco)
Lineage: Eukaryota; Viridiplantae; Streptophyta; Magnoliopsida; Solanales; Solanaceae
Description: long non-coding RNA (NTAB_LNC017629)
Source: RNAcentral